Molecule: ribosomal RNA, 484 nt
Filed under: uncultured bacterium
Lineage: Bacteria
Description: partial 16S ribosomal RNA
Rfam family: Bacterial small subunit ribosomal RNA
Source: RNAcentral
AUUGAACGCUGGCGGCAGGCCUAACACAUGCAAGUCGAGCGGAUGAGUGGAGCUUGCUCCCUGAUUCAGCGGCGGACGGGUGAGUAAUGCCUAGGAAUCUGCCUGGUAGUGGGGGACAACGUUUCGAAAGGAACGCUAAUACCGCAUGCGUCCUACGGGAGAAAGUGGGUGAUCUUCGGACCUCACGCUAUCAGAUGAGCCUAGGUUGGAUUGGCUAGUUGGUGCGGUAAAGGCUCACCAAGGCGACGAUCCGUAACUGGUCUGAGAGGAUGAUCAGUCACACUGGAACUGAGACACGGUCCAGACUCCUACGGGAGGCAGCAGUCGGGAAUAUUGGACAAUGGGCGAAAGCCUGAUCCAGCAAUGCCGCGUGUGUGAAGAAGGUCUUCGGAUUGGAAAGCACUGUAAGCUGGGAGGAAGGGCAGUAAGUUAAGAUCUGGAUGUUUUGACGUUACCAACAGAAGAAGCACCGGCUAACUCCGUG